RNAcentral lists this ribosomal RNA (490 nucleotides) under uncultured bacterium. Its description in RNAcentral is "partial 16S ribosomal RNA". It matches the Rfam family "Bacterial small subunit ribosomal RNA", at positions 29 to 507 of the family's 1533-position model. The record is from RNAcentral.
AGUGAACGCUGGCGGUAGGCCUAACACAUGCAAGUCGAACGGCAGCACAGGAGAGCUUGCUCUCUGUGUGGCGAGUGGCGGACGGGUGCGGAAUACAUCGUAAUCUGCCCAGUCGUUGGGGAUAACGUAGGGAAACUUACGCUAAUACCGCAUACGACCUUCUGGUGAAAGAGGUGGAACGCAAGACCUCUCGCGAUUGGCUUAGCCGAUGUCGGAUUCGCUAGUUUGAGGGGUAAUGGCACACCAAGGCGACGAUCCGUAGCUGGUCUGAGAGGAUGAUAAGCCACACUGGAACUGACACACGGUCCAGACUCCUACGGGAGGCAGCAGUGAGGAAUAUUGGCCAAUGGGCGCAAGCCUGAUCCAGCCAUACCGCGUGGGUGAAGAAGGCCUUCGCGUUGUAAAGCCCAUUUGUUGGGAAAGAAAUCGUUCAGGCUAAUACCCUGGGAGGAUGACGGUACCCAAAGAAUAAGCACCGGCUAACUUCGUC